Molecule: small nuclear RNA, 299 nt
Filed under: Jaculus jaculus (lesser Egyptian jerboa)
Lineage: Eukaryota; Metazoa; Chordata; Mammalia; Rodentia; Dipodidae
Description: 7SK RNA (ENSJJAG00000007945.1)
Rfam family: 7SK RNA
About the family: 7SK was discovered as an abundant small nuclear RNA in the mid-70s but a possible function has only recently been suggested. Two independent studies have found that 7SK RNA binds the CDK9/cyclin T complex (known as elongation factor P-TEFb).
Source: Rfam by way of RNAcentral
GGAUGUGACGACGAUCUGGCUGCGACAUCUGUCAACACAUUGAUCGCCAGGGUUGAUUCAGCUGAGCUGGCUGGCUGGGCGGGUGUCCCCUUCCUCCUUCACCGCUCCUGGUGCGUCCCUCCCGAAGCUGCGUGCUCGGUCGAACAGAACGACCUUCCCCGAAUAGAGGAGGACCGGUCUUCAGUCAAGAGUGUGCGGGCAGCUGCGCUCCCCUGCUAGAACCUCCAAACAAGCUCUCAAAUAAAUGAAUAAAAAUUAUCGAAAAAGUUUUUAAAAAUGGCCAUUGAGCCCGUGUCAAU